RNAcentral lists this ribosomal RNA (439 nucleotides) under uncultured bacterium. RNAcentral's name for it is "partial 16S ribosomal RNA". It matches the Rfam family "Bacterial small subunit ribosomal RNA", at positions 339 to 795 of the family's 1533-position model. The record is from RNAcentral.
CUACGGGCGGCUCCAGUGGGGAAUAUUGCACAAUGGAGGAAACUCUGAUGCAGCAACGCCGCGUGGAGGAUGACACUUUUCGGAGCGUAAACUCCUUUUAUAUAGGAAGAAGAUGACGGUACUAUAUGAAUAAGCGCCGGCUAACUCCGUGCCAGCAGCCGCGGUAAUACGGAGGGCGCAAGCGUUACUCGGAAUCACUGGGCGUAAAGAGCGUGUAGGCGGAUUAAAAAGUCAGAAGUGAAAUCCUAUAGCUUAACUAUAGAACUGCUUCUGAAACUCUUAAUCUAGAAUAUGGGAGAGGUAGAUGGAAUUUCUGGUGUAGGGGUAAAAUCCGUAGAGAUCAGAAGGAAUACCGAUUGCGAAGGCGAUCUACUAGAACAUUAUUGACGCUGAGACGCGAAAGCGUGGGGAGCAAACAGGAUUAGAUACCCCGGUAGUC